GGGACACGUGGUAUCCUGUCUGAAUAUGGGGGGACCAUCCUCCAAGGCUAAAUACUCCUGACUGACCGAUAGUGAACCAGUACCGUGAGGGAAAGGCGAAAAGAACCCCGGCGAGGGGAGUGAAAAAGAACCUGAAACCGUGUACGUACAAGCAGUGGGAGCACGCUUAGGCGUGUGACUGCGUACCUUUUGUAUAAUGGGUCAGCGACUUAUAUUCUGUAGCAAGGUUAACCGAAUAGGGGAGCCGAAGGGAAACCGAGUCUUAACUGGGCGUUAAGUUGCAGGGUAUAGACCCGAAACCCGGUGAUCUAGCCAUGGGCAGGUUGAAGGUUGGGUAACACUAACUGGAGGACCGAACCGACUAAUGUUGAAAAAUUAGCGGAUGACUUGUGGCUGGGGGUGAAAGGCCAAUCAAACCGGGAGAUAGCUGGUUCUCCC
RNAcentral lists this ribosomal RNA (438 nucleotides) under Escherichia coli. RNAcentral describes it as "partial 23S ribosomal RNA". It matches the Rfam family "Bacterial large subunit ribosomal RNA", at positions 419 to 859 of the family's 2925-position model. The record is from RNAcentral. Lineage: Bacteria; Pseudomonadati; Pseudomonadota; Gammaproteobacteria; Enterobacterales; Enterobacteriaceae.